Molecule: long non-coding RNA, 1892 nt
Organism: Chroicocephalus ridibundus (black-headed gull)
Lineage: Eukaryota; Metazoa; Chordata; Aves; Charadriiformes; Laridae
Exons: 6
Source: RefSeq, a predicted model, not a curated record
UGGAAGUGAUGAGUACCGUGACGGAUAACCUGCAGGUGCUGGCUGGGGGAUACCCGGUGGCCAGUAACGCAGGCAGCAGCAGGCCAUCCAGCUGCUGGCACAUCCCUGGUUCUGGAGGGCUCAUCUUACGGCAGCUCUGCACCAGGGGAGGCGAAACACAGCAGAACAGCAAAAUAAAAGGCAUCAGCUCCAGGAAGGACUUUUCCCAAGUGCCUUGGAUUUUCCAUGGCCCCAGCCUCAGCCUGCCGGCAGCCUGCCUGGACGCUCUCCUCACUGUGCUUCGGCAGUCCCCCCGGUCCAGGUCCUCCCGCUUCUCUGGAAAGCCCUUCAGGUCAAUGAGUUCCUCUGGAUUUGGAAGCAGGUCCUGAGUAUCCCUCUUUGUGACAGACCAGUGGAACGUUAACCCGGGUACCGCAUUGCCAAACGAAAAAGGAGUCUGACUGCUGGUGGUGCCCAUUACGUAAACCGGCAUCUAGAAACAGAGAAACCAACUUUCCUAAGUAAGCCUGGCAUGCUAACCAAACCUGCGCACAGCAAAUGUGAUUAAACUUAAAAUUCAUCUCCGGAGAGGAGCCAGUCGCACUCACUAAUGGAGCCACCAUGAACUGCUCCAUUGUGUCAGAGGGGCUUCCUCUCCGCAGAUUGUCCAACCCCGUCCAUCCGACACUCCUGACACGUGCAGCCAUGAGGUGGAGGAACCUCUGGACGUGGCUGCGGAGGAUGGAUGAGCCAGGCAGACUGUUGUCUCCCGAGGUGGAAAUAUAAGGAGAACAGAGCAGCAGCUUCCGUGGGUCUUUGACGCUGUCCUCCAUUCCCUCUCUGGUGUACUCGUGAGCUGCUGAAAACCAGCUGCAUUUCCAACUGGGCGGGAACACAGACAACAGUACGGGCAGUAUUUUGGCCUCAGAAAUUUGCAAAGUGAAUGCAAACAGCUAAUUAGAGAAAGGUGGCUGUGCCAGCAAGCGCUCUGACGGGGUGUUGAAGAACGUGCACCUGUUUUCAUGCCUUAAGUGUGGGACUGAGUUGCGAGAAGGGAUGCCGAUGCUAUCUUCGGAUGUUCAAGGCAAGGAUAAUUAAUCUUGUACGGUUUCCUGCGUUAGUGUCCGUGUUGCUGUGCGCUGCGCUGGUAGGCCGUGCAGGUGCAGAAGAUGAGCAGAAGCGUCUCAGGGUGCAGAGGACUCUGCCGGGCUGGUGGGUCCAUGCCAAAUCUGCGCUCCUACGCCGGUGUAGGACCUCUCUGAGUUUGCUAAAGCAGCACUUGAGCUUAGAGUCUCUUGCCAUUAUUUCAAACACCGAAGCAAUAUCUGCUGUUUACCAGGUAAGUGUUUUUCUGGUAUUUUCCCCAGCGCUGAUUGUUGUAGUGGAAUGAGUAGUCUGAGCGGUUGAAACGGAGAAACAGAAGAAAAUUGUGGUAACUGUUUCAGGUUGAGAUCAUGUUUUUCUUCAAGACACCUAAAUGGAGUAGCAGUUGCGUUGAGGGAGUAAGGAGGUGUGUUAGAUAAGUGGCACGAAGAGGUUUUUGGGAAGUCUCGGUGCCGAGCGGUGAGCGCGGCAGUGAGCCGGCUGUCCCCGCCGUGGGUGCGGGAGCAGCUGCAGGAGUCCCGGCAGCUCCUGUGAAGCCCCUUCCUGGCCUGUGCAAGGGCAAACCAAGAGGGUGGACGGUGCUGCAGGAUGCUGGCUUAGUGUUUCCUAUCACAGUAAAUACAGCUAAUUAACGCUGUGGCAUUAGGCCCGUAAAAAAAAAAUAGUAUUUUCCAUCGAUUUAGCCCCCUUCAUUGCACAGAAGCUGAUUGUCUUAACUCCAAACCAACUCACGCUCAAUCAGUGAUGAAGACGGGACUGGGGAAUGCGGAGACGCUGUACCCAGACAGGCGCUGCCUCUGCACGAGGAA